CAGCCGCCGCGGGAAUACGUAGGGUGCGAGCGUUAAUCGGAAUUACUGGGCGUAAAGCGUGCGCAGGCGGUUAUAUAAGACAGAUGUGAAAUCCCCGGGCUCAACCUGGGACCUGCAUUUGUGACUGUAUAGCUAGAGUACGGUAGAGGGGGAUGGAAUUCCGCAUGUAGCAGUGAAAUGCGUAGAUAUGCGGAGGAACACCGAUGGCGAAGGCAAUCCCCUGGACCUGUACUGACGCUCAUGCACGAAAGCGUGGGGAGCAAACAGGAUUAGAUACCCCCGUAGUCCCUGUCUCUUAUAC
This 301-nucleotide ribosomal RNA is filed under the name uncultured bacterium. RNAcentral's name for it is "partial 16S ribosomal RNA". It matches the Rfam family "Bacterial small subunit ribosomal RNA", at positions 509 to 807 of the family's 1533-position model. The record is from RNAcentral.